This 468-nucleotide ribosomal RNA is filed under the name uncultured bacterium. RNAcentral describes it as "partial 16S ribosomal RNA". It matches the Rfam family "Bacterial small subunit ribosomal RNA", at positions 28 to 507 of the family's 1533-position model. The record is from RNAcentral.
GACGAACGCUGGCGGCGUGCUUAACACAUGCAAGUCGAACGGAAAGGCCCUGCUUUUGUGGGGUGCUCGAGUGGCGAACGGGUGAGUAACACGUGAGUAACCUGCCCUUGAAUAUGGGGUAACUUCCGGAAACUGGGGCUAAUACCCGAUAGGAGCUUCUGCUGCAUGGUGGGGGUAGGAAAGUUUCGGUGGUUGGGGAUGGACUCGCGGCUUAUCAGCUUGUUGGUGGGGUAGUGGAUUACCAAGUCUUAGACGGGUAGCCGGCAUGAGAGCUUGACCGGCCACAAGGCGACUGCGGUACGGCGCAGACGCCAACCGUAGGCAGUGGGCGAAAGUAUGACAGAGCGAGCGGAAGCGAGAGGCAGCGACGCUGCGUGCGUGAUGCCGUCUUUCGGGUUGUAAACCGCUGUCGCCGUAGACGAGGCGUUAUUGACGGUAACUAGUAAGAAAGCACCGGCUAACUACGUG